This is a non-coding RNA of Dictyocaulus viviparus (bovine lungworm), 248 nucleotides long. Lineage: Eukaryota; Metazoa; Nematoda; Chromadorea; Rhabditida; Metastrongylidae. The record is from Rfam.
GUUGUCCUGAAGGAAGUGUUGGGGGUUACGCACAGGUCCUUUCGUGACCUAGUCAAUCCCCGGGAAGGUCUGAGAAAAGGUCAUGUUCCGUGUGUUAGGUGUGGAACAUGGGCUCGAGAAGGGCCUCGCUUGUGAGAGCGGGAGGCUGUAACAGAAACAUCACCCCGAGGGGUUUGAACCACAGUCUCGAUCGGCGCGGCUGAGUGCGAUUGCUCUCCGAACACAAUUCAGACUACUCUCAGGACAAC